This 1343-nucleotide ribosomal RNA is filed under the name uncultured bacterium. Its description in RNAcentral is "16S ribosomal RNA". It matches the Rfam family "Bacterial small subunit ribosomal RNA", at positions 28 to 1378 of the family's 1533-position model. The record is from RNAcentral.
GACGAACGCUGGCGGCGUGCUUAACACAUGCAAGUCGAACGGAAAGGCCCUGCUUUUGUGGGGUGCUCGAGUGGCGAACGGGUGAGUAACACGUGAGUAACCUGCCCUUGACUUUGGGAUAACUUCAGGAAACUGGGGCUAAUACCGGAUAGGAGCUCCUGCUGCAUGGUGGGGGUUGGAGAGUUUCGGCGGUUGGGGAUGGACUCGCGGCUUAUCAGCUUGUUGGUGGGGUAGUGGCUUACCAAGGCUUUGACGGGUAGCCGGCCUGAGAGGGUGACCGGCCACAUUGGGACUGAGAUACGGCCCAGACUCCUACGGGAGGCAGCAGUGGGGAAUAUUGUACAAUGGGCGGAAGCCUGAUGCAGCAACGCCGCGUGCGGGAUGACGGCCUUCGGGUUGUAAACCGCUUUCGCCUGUGACGAAGCGUGAGUGACGGUAAUGGGUAAAGAAGCACCGGCUAACUACGUGCCAGCAGCCGCGGUGAUACGUAGGGUGCGAGCGUUGUCCGGAUUUAUUGGGCGUAAAGGGCUCGUAGGUGGUUGAUCGCGUCGGAAGUGUAAUCUUGGGGCUUAACCCUGAGCGUGCUUUCGAUACGGGUUGACUUGAGGAAGGUAGGGGAGAAUGGAAUUCCUGGUGGAGCGGUGGAAUGCGCAGAUAUCAGGAGGAACACCAGUGGCGAAGGCGGUUCUCUGGGCCUUUCCUGACGCUGAGGAGCGAAAGCGUGGGGAGCGAACAGGCUUAGAUACCCUGGUAGUCCACGCUGUAAACGGUGGGUACUAGGUGUGGGGUCCAUUCCACGGGUUCCGUGCCGUAGCUAACGCUUUAAGUACCCCGCCUGGGGAGUACGGCCGCAAGGCUAAAACUCAAAGGAAUUGACGGGGCCCCGCACAAGCGGCGGAGCAUGCGGAUUAAUUCGAUGCAACGCGUAGAACCUUACCUGGGUUUGACAUGGAUCGGGAGCGCUCAGAGAUGGGUGUGCCUCUUUUGGGGUCGGUUCACAGGUGGUGCAUGGCUGUCGUCAGCUCGUGUCGUGAGAUGUUGGGUUAAGUCCCGCAACGAGCGCAACCCUUGUUCACUGUUGCCAGCACGUUAUGGUGGGGACUCAGUGGAGACCGCCGGGGUCAACUCGGAGGAAGGUGGGGAUGACGUCAAGUCAUCAUGCCCCUUAUGUCCAGGGCUUCACGCAUGCUACAAUGGCUGGUACAGAGGGUGGCGAGCCUGUGAGGGUGAGCGAAUCUCGGAAAGCCGGUCUCAGUUCGGAUUGGGGUCUGCAACUCGACCUCAUGAAGUCGGAGUCGCUAGUAAUCGCAGAUCAGCAACGCUGCGGUGAAUACGUUCCCGGG